Molecule: ribosomal RNA, 253 nt
Filed under: uncultured bacterium
Lineage: Bacteria
Description: partial 16S ribosomal RNA
Rfam family: Bacterial small subunit ribosomal RNA
Source: RNAcentral
UACGUAGGGUGCAAGCGUUGUCCGGAAUUAUUGGGCGUAAAGAGCUCGUAGGCGGUUUGUCGCGUCUGCCGUGAAAGUCCGGGGCUCAACUCCGGAUCUGCGGUGGGUACGGGCAGACUAGAGUGAUGUAGGGGAGACUGGAAUUCCUGGUGUAGCGGUGAAAUGCGCAGAUAUCAGGAGGAACACCGGUGGCGAAGGCGGGUCUCUGGGCCGUAACUGACGCUGAGGAGCGAAAGCGUGGGGAGCGAACAGG